Cricetulus griseus (Chinese hamster) is the source of this 3418-nucleotide non-coding RNA. Lineage: Eukaryota; Metazoa; Chordata; Mammalia; Rodentia; Cricetidae. The record is from RefSeq and is a predicted model, not a curated record.
CGAACCGCGUCUCUAUGGCGGCCGCGACAGCCCAUUAGACGCAGAGCGACAUGAACGCGGAUGCUGACGGCCACAGCGGCGCUGCGGUACCUGUGCAAUCUCGAGAGGGCAGUCCCGUGGCGGCUGACUUCGUCCCGUCGGCGCUGGGGACACGAGAGCAUUGGGAUGCUGUUUAUGAGAGAGAACUGAGAACAUUCCAAGAAUAUGGAGAUACAGGAGAAAUCUGGUUUGGGGAAGAGAGUAUGAACCGACUAAUAAGGUGGCUGCAAAAACACAAGAUCCCAUCAGAUGCCUCAGUGCUUGAUAUUGGAACUGGAAAUGGUGUUUUCCUGGUUGAACUUGUGAAACAUGGUUUCUCUAAUAUAACUGGGAUCGAUUAUUCUCCUUCUGCAAUUAAGCUUUCUGCAAGUAUUUUAGAGAAAGAAGGGCUAUCGAACAUUAACUUAAAGGUAGAAGACUUUUUGAGUCUUUCCACAAAGCUGUCUGGAUUUCAUGUUUGUGUUGACAAAGGGACUUUCGAUGCCAUAAGUCUUAAUCCUGACAAUGCAGUUGAGAAGAGGAAGCAAUAUGUGAAGUCUCUCUCCAGGGUGUUGGAAGUAAAAGGCUUUUUUCUAAUAACCUCAUGUAAUUGGACCAAGGCAGAGUUGCUGGAUGUGUUCAGUGAAGGAUUUGAACUUUUUGAAGAGCUGCCAACACCCAAGUUCAGCUUUGGAGGUAGAUCUGGAAAUACUGUAGCAGCUUUGGUUUUUCAAAAAAGUGAAACUUUCUUGGACAAAGUCAGUUAGCUUUCUAGAAGAAACUGUACAGCAAAGUAAACCUGAUACAGAAGAAGCAAGUGCAAAUAGUGCUUAAGUGCAUGGAAGAACACCUUUCAGAUUGACAACUUGGUCUUUUAAGUAGUAGUAAAUGGUAUGGAUGUACUACACCUGCAGGAAAACGCCUACAGAACUAGCAGGGAAGACAAACACAGAGCCAGGUGAAUCUCAUUCCUCUUAAAAUGCCAGUGGUGUGGAUGAAAACAAAGACCUUUGUUUUUGGCUACAGUAUAUUGACAAACGCUGAAGACAAUGAAGAGAUUCACAAGCUUGCAGACUGGGUGAAUAUGCUCAUGGUCCUCUAGUCCCUCCUGGUAGACCCAGAGACAACAUUUCCUCCUUCAUAUUUAAAUCCAAAGGAUUCAGGAUUUAGAUUGUAUAUGUAAGCUCUGUGAAAUCAUGAACUAUAUACCUGGUUCCUCAAUAAUGAAUGAAAAAUGCCCUUUUGGGGGGAAAAGGAAGAAUAUCAGUAAUUUUUAGCUUAUCAGAAUGGCCAAACUAAAAAUAGGUUUUCUUUGAGGCAGUUUCUUGUAUGCUAGACUCAACAGAGAAAAAUAAUUUGGCUUUGUAUUGCAAAUGCUAAAUGAAUUCUAAAGAAUAAGAAAAAGCUUGAAGUGGUUUUUACUUGAAAAUAGAACAUGUGAAUAUAGUUUGGGAGUAUAGUUGAAAUGUUUUCUAAGUUAAACAUAGGGCAAUAUGAAAACACUGUUCCUUGUUUUUAGCUGUUUUUGGUGGAGUAACAGGAAAAUUGUUGUAGAUAACUAGUUGUGUGAUAGUGACAUUAAAGUCUACUUCAGUUGCCAUUAUAAAUACAUUAGAGGGUAUGUUUUUUUGUUAAUUUUAAAAAAUAAUUAUUUACUUCUAUAUGUAUGAAUAUUUUGCCUGCAUGUAUAUAUGUACACUAUGUGGGUUGUUGGUGCUUGUGGAGGUCAGAAGAGCGCAGAGUCACUGUUAAGUGGUAGAAAUCGAACCCAGGGCCUCUGCAAUAUCAAUAAGUGCUCUAAACUGCUGAGUAAUCUCUUCAGCCCCCCAGGUUUUGUUUUUGAAGUUUAGUAUUGGGAUAAUAUGAUUGGUUUAGUAAGUUUUCAUAUGCUAGCAAGUGAAUACCUUUGUUACACUUUUUCCUUUUUAUUUACUGUGAAUAAGCUUCAAUAUCUCCUUUUCAUCCUUGUGCUUUCUUAUAACUAAUAAUAAUAAUAAUAAUAGUCACUAGGAAAUUUUGAAAAAGGUUACUACUGAAUAGUUUGAAUUUUCAAGUUUUAACUCUCACUCUGUUCUUUUUAGCUUUUAGCUUGCCUUACCCAGAGGUCUUCUGUCCAGUGAGUUGCAAGCGUGACAUUUGCUGUGUUUUCAGCACCUGUCAACUUGGAAACCAGGGUUUGUGCUCAGGACGUAGGCUUACAACCCACACUUUGUGGUGCACAAUGCCGUCCCAGCUGGCAUACUUUCGUACCUCAAUGGUGCUAGACAUUCGGUUACAAAGCGGCACAGCAUCACAUGUGCAGAAUUCAAUAGUCAUUCCUCUCCAAGCUGCUUGCAACUCUUAUUUUGUAUCAGAAGAGUGAGAUUGGUAUCAUUAAAUUCCCUGCUGUGGUUAUUUUUCAAUGAAAAUAAAUUUAGUUUAUUCUUGGAUUAAAAAAUGCAAUUUUCUUCUUUCAGAAUCAAAAUGCUUCAAAAUUGGCUAAAAUAUGUUUUAUAUAUCUAGCAUACAAAUAUUAUAGCCCUAAAGUUGUAACUUAUUUUUAUAGGUGGAUAAAAGCACAGGAAAGAACAAAAGGACUAAUGUAUUAUAUCCUUUCAUAGGUAGGGCUAUUAGUUGUAAUUCAAUUUAGGAAAAAUUGGAGAAUUUUUCUGAGUGAGACCCACAUAUGAAAAUUGCCCCAUGACGAACUCAGAGUUUUGGCCUCAGUUCUGACCAUAUUUUCCAAAGAAAAUUUUUGGAAACCAAAAUAUUUACCAUAUUUACAUAUUUUCCAAAGAAGUGUUUUCUAUCAACUUGCUUUCAGUAGCCAAUCUCUUUGGAAACAUUUCAGGUGGAUUUGGUGGUGUCCAUCUUCCCAUAAUCUAUUAUAAGCAAUUUUAAAAGGUUUUGCUUGGGGAAAAAAAAAAGGUCUUUUCAGAUGUAGAAAGAACAGUGUGAAAUGUGAGUGACUGGCUUUUAAUACAACAGUGUGACAAAGAGGCCCAGUGGCUUUUAGAAGCCGAAUAAAGGGGUUGAUACACAAGCAUCUGCAUACUGGUGUUGGGCUCGAUGUAUAACAUGUCUGACAUUUGGUUGUUCACUUUGUUAGUCUAAAUAAAUUACUAUGGUUAUGCUCUUCUAAUUUUUAGUGAUGUACUUAGACAUAGGUACAGAUAUUUGUGAAAAUUAACAGUUACUGGCACCAACUGGAACUUCAAAACUUAGUUCUUUUUUGUUUGAACAUCGCACUGAUCUGGUUCUAAAGGCAUAAAAAUAAAACACCCACUAACUGCUUUAGUAUAUAUCAAAUGCAGCCUUUACCCUUCUCUCCACAGAUGUGCUUAGGUGAACACUUCUUUAGCUUGUUGAUACAAGUUAUAGUUGGUUACACCCUUUCUUAAUAAAAUACACCCUGAUUGUC